GACGAACGCUGGCGGCGUGCUUAACACAUGCAAGUCGAGCGGUAAGGCCCUUUCGGGGGUACACGAGCGGCGAACGGGUGAGUAACACGUGGGUGACCUGCCCUCAGCUCUGGGAUAAGCCUGGGAAACCGGGUCUAAUACUGGAUAUGACUCCAUGACGCAUGUUGUGGGGUGGAAAGCCUUGUGCGGCUGAGGAUGGGCCCGCGGCCUAUCAGCUUGUUGGUGGGGUGANGGCCUACCAAGGCGACGACGGUAGCCGGCCUGAGAGGGCGACCGGCCACACUGGGACUGAGACACGGCCCAGACUCCUACGGGAGGCAGCAGUGGGGAAUCUUGCGCAAUGGGCGAAAGCCUGACGCAGCGACGCCGCGUGAGGGAUGACGGCCUGGU
RNAcentral lists this ribosomal RNA (390 nucleotides) under uncultured bacterium. RNAcentral's name for it is "bacterial SSU rRNA". It matches the Rfam family "Bacterial small subunit ribosomal RNA", at positions 28 to 420 of the family's 1533-position model. The record is from RNAcentral.